AUACUGUGCAUAGAACACGCAUGGUUUACUGCUCUGACUGUAGUGUACUUCCAUUGAUGUCUCCUGUAGAGCAAGAGGAAUAUGAGCAGCUUGAGGUGGGGGAAUGUCUGCAUGUCCUCUUCCCCAGCCAUAUAUGCUUUACCUAGGCAGGAGGUAGGGGCAGGGGCCAGUUCCUCCACCUUGCUAUCAGUGAACAUCCUGAACCAUCCUGUUAUCCUACCCAUGACAAUGCUACCUACGGCUCCCUCACCACAUCUCCCAGUGCAUGUGGGUGCAGAGCAGCAUAAGCUCCAGUGCAGAACUCGGUCCCUGCAGCUGUGCCAAGGUUACCGAGAGAACUGCAGCAAGCGACCUCAGAAAGCCUCACAUAUACAUGAGCAGUUGACCCGCACCAGGUCCUUUCCUCUCUUUAAGCAACAGAUCACCCAUC
Electrophorus electricus (electric eel) is the source of this 430-nucleotide long non-coding RNA. The record is from Ensembl. Lineage: Eukaryota; Metazoa; Chordata; Actinopteri; Gymnotiformes; Gymnotidae.